GCGGCGGUAGCGGCGGCGGCGUUCUUCGGCGGGCAAAUCCGGCGGCCUGGGGGCGCAAGCGAGAGAGAGAGCAGAGGGGAAAGAAAGAGGAGGGGCGGGGCUUUAUAAGGACGCGGGCGGCGAGUUUCGGAAAGCACGAGCAGGUUGGAUCCUGGAGAUUGCGGCGGCGGGGUGUCCGGCACGGACAGGGCGCCGCUUUCCUUCGGGGAAGACGAAGGCCCUGACAGGUGGGCCCCACCUGUCAGUGGCUCGCAGCGCGCGCGGACCGAGGUGGCUCGGUUCAGCUCGGGCACAGUCGGGAUUGGGCCGGUUCAACCCAUUUGGCCGGGCCGGUCCGGUUUUCGUUUUUUUUUCUUUUCUCUUUUUCCUUUUUCUCAUUUCUUUGAUAUCUUUUUAUUUUGAAAUCCAAAUUGAUCCAAAUAAAUUCCAGAAAAUUUGUAAAAUCAUGUAUGAUCAUGAUUCAACUUUUGGGAGUAAUUUCCUCUAAAAAUAAAAUAUAUAAAAAUACAUUUGCCCUAUAAAUGCCUUUAGGGCGAUAUAACUAUUUAAAUCAAAUAGUUUUUCAACUCCAAAUAAAAUCUUAAAAAUUAUGGGAUAGCUCAUUUAUGCAAUAAACCCCAUUUAUAGAUAAAUCUUAUUGGUUUUAAAAUCCAAAGCUCAAAUGGGUGAAACCCUAGGGUUUAAAAUGAAAUAAAAUCUUUUUAAAGCCUUUUUAGAUUCAAAUUUGAAUUCAAAAAUGCAAUUGUGGCAUGAUGCUCAUGAAUGCAAUGCAUAUGAAAGAGUUUGAAUUUUUGGGAUGUUACAUUACUCCCACUCUACUAUCAUUUAUUUUACUUUACAUACAUCCGACCAUUUGAUCAUGUCACUGAUACUCCCUUAUCUUCCUUCUUUAUUUUCUAUAGAUGGGGAGUCCACCACCACCCUUUGGCAAUGUACCGCCGUUCACCCGCGUCUACUACCCCUCCACGGACGACGACUAGUUGUUUAGUGCCCCUUACUGUGUGCGUUCCUCGACCUGCCACCUCCCAGGUUUAGAGGCCGAGUCGAGCCCGCCGUGCCAGAAGGAGGGCAUCCACGGUGGGAGAUUGAGGCGAAGAUCCACGGGCGUG
RNAcentral lists this long non-coding RNA (1109 nucleotides) under Brachypodium distachyon (stiff brome). Its description in RNAcentral is "long non-coding RNA (BDIS_LNC000755)". The record is from RNAcentral. Lineage: Eukaryota; Viridiplantae; Streptophyta; Magnoliopsida; Poales; Poaceae.